AACGAACGCUGGCGGCAGGCCUAACACAUGCCAGUCGAGCGCGCCUUCGGGUGAGCGGCGGACGGGUGAGUAACGCGUGGGAAUAUGCCCUUCUCUACGGAAUAGUCCUGGGAAACUGGGGGUAAUAUCGUAUACGCCCUUUGGGGGAAAGAUUUAUCGGGGAAGGAUUAGCCCGCGUUGGAUUAGGUAGUUGGUGGGGUAAUGGCCUACCAAGCCGACGAUCCAUAGCUGGUUUGAGGGGAUGAUCAGCCACACUGGGACUGAGACACGGCCCAGACUCCUACGGGAGGCAGCAGUGGGGAAUCUUAGACAAUGGGGGCAACCCUGAUCUAGCCAUGCCGCGUGAGUGAUGAAGGCCUUAGGGUUGUAAAGCUCUUUCAGCUGGGAAGAUAAUGACGGUACCAGCAGAAGAAGCCCCGGCUAACUCCGUG
RNAcentral lists this ribosomal RNA (431 nucleotides) under uncultured bacterium. RNAcentral describes it as "partial 16S ribosomal RNA". It matches the Rfam family "Bacterial small subunit ribosomal RNA", at positions 29 to 507 of the family's 1533-position model. The record is from RNAcentral.